UAUUCUUUAAAAUCCAAAAAAGGUAGUACGGAGGGUUGGCAUUGAAAUAUAACCAUAGAAGCAAGUUGCGUGACUUGCAGCUCCUAUACAACGUGAGCUACAAUUUUACAGAAGUAAAGUUUCAUUAUUUUUCACAAGAACAACAUACGAGUUUUGCACACCGCUUUGAUCUCGUUAUUCUAUUUUGUCGUGUAAUUAAAUUCGGAUUUUAUUCGAAGUGAAGUAAGAUGGAAGAAGAUCAUUUCUUUUCAUAUAAGAUAUAAAUCGUGGAGCAGAUACGAGUUGAGUUCUUGAGCCGUUGAGCUAAGACAGUCCCAUAUUGUUUUGCAGGUAAAAGUAUUCAGCUAGGAUGAUUGGCUAUCUGCUGGUAUUGGCAAACUCCAUUUUCUUCCUGGAGCAGUGCCGAGUCAUUAUGGUUAUUAUAUGCUUGUAUGGGUAUGUCGGGGCCCUGUCCCGACUCAUAGGACUCAAGUGUUUACUCUUAGAGACUUUGCAGAAGGUGUCCUGUGGUUAGUAUGUUAAGAUGUCAUGCAUUGAGUAAAGCGACCAUGUAGGCCGAUAUGUCAGUUUGACUUAUUCGAUUUUUGAUUAAUUGAGUAUCGUUCGCAAACUUC
Molecule: long non-coding RNA, 614 nt
Organism: Lycium barbarum (goji berry)
Lineage: Eukaryota; Viridiplantae; Streptophyta; Magnoliopsida; Solanales; Solanaceae
Exons: 3
Source: RefSeq, a predicted model, not a curated record